UGGCUCAGAGUGAACGCUAGCGGCGUGGUUAAGACAUGCAAGUCGAACGAUGAAGCCCAGCUUGCUGGGCGGAUUAGUGGCAUACGGGUGCGUAACACGUGAGCAACCUGCCUUGAAGUGGGGAAUAGCCCGGGGAAACCCGGAUUAAUACCGCAUGUGGUCUCUUUUCGCAUGAAAAGACGACUAAAGUUUGUAAUGACUCUUCAAGAGGGGCUCGCGGCCUAUCAGCUUGUUGGUGAGGUAAAGGCUCACCAAGGCAAAGACGGGUAGCUGGUCUGAGAGGAUGAUCAGCCACACUGGAACUGAGAUACGGUCCAGACACCUACGGGUGGCAGCAGUUUCGAAUCAUUCACAAUGGGGGAAACCCUGAUGGUGCAACGCCGCGUGGAGGAUGACGGCCUUCGGGUUGUAAACUCCUGUCACCAAGGAACAAACGGCAGGUUCAUAGCCUGUCCUGAGUUAACUUGGAGAGGAAGAGGUGGCUAACUCCGUGCCAGCAGCCGCGGUAAUACGGAGACCUCGAGCGUUACUCGGAUUCACUGGGCGUAAAGAGUAUGUAGGCGGUUUGGUAUGUCAGGUGUGAAAGCCCGAAGCUCAACUUCGGAAUUGCGCCUGAAACUACCGGACUUGAGGCCUGGAGAGGGGAGUGGAAUUCCUGGUGUAGCGGUGAAAUGCGUAGAUAUCAGGAGGAACACCAAUGGCGAAGGCAGCUCCCUGGACAGGUUCUGACGCUGAGAUACGAAAGCGUGGGUAGCGAAAGGGAUUAGAUACCCCUGUAGUCCACGCCGUAAACGUUGUACACUAGGUUUCGGAGGGCCUACCCCUUCGGAGCUCAAGCUAACGCGAUAAGUGUACC
This 856-nucleotide ribosomal RNA is filed under the name uncultured organism. Its description in RNAcentral is "bacterial SSU rRNA". It matches the Rfam family "Bacterial small subunit ribosomal RNA", at positions 20 to 870 of the family's 1533-position model. The record is from RNAcentral.